AUUGAACGCUGGCGGCAUGCCUUACACAUGCAAGUCGAACGGCAGCACGGGAGCAAUCCUGGUGGCGAGUGGCGAACGGGUGAGUAAUAUAUCGGAACGUGCCCAGUCGUGGGGGAUAACGUAGCGAAAGCUACGCUAAUACCGCAUACGAUCUAUGGAUGAAAGCGGGGGAUCGCAAGACCUCGCGCGAUUGGAGCGGCCGAUAUCAGAUUAGGUAGUUGGUGGGGUAAAAAGCCUACCAAGCCUUCGAUCUGUAGCUGGUCUGAGAGGACGACCAGCCACACUGGAACUGAGACACGGUCCAGACUCCUACGGGAGGCAGCAGUGGGGAAUUUUGGACGAAUGGGCGGCAAGCCUGAUCCAGCAAUGCCGCGUGCAGGAUGAAGGCCUC
Molecule: ribosomal RNA, 391 nt
Filed under: uncultured bacterium
Lineage: Bacteria
Description: bacterial SSU rRNA
Rfam family: Bacterial small subunit ribosomal RNA
Source: RNAcentral